AUGUACGCGGACCGGUUCCCGCCGGCUGAGUUGCACCAGCGGCCGGCUGACUACCAACUCAAAACCUGGGACUACGACUCCAUUUGCGCCAUGAGGCAGCAGGCGCAACAAGACGACAAGCAUAGCAAGCAAAGCUCACUCCAAUCGAGCUUGAAGCAGAGAGUGAGGCGGCUUUUGCUCGAGGAGGAAGAAGAGCUGGCAACUAGGCUCAAGAUCAUUGACCAACUCCAAAGUCUCGGUGUAGCAUACCAUUUCGAGGAGGAGAUCAGAAGCAUCCUCAUGUCCAUGCAUGUGCAUCAUGCACAGCUUCAACUCAAGCAUGACCUCUCAUCAACAGCACUGCUAUUUAGAAUGCUCAGAGGACAUGGAAUCUCUGCGUCCAUAGAUAUGUUGAGUGCAUUCAGGGAUGAGAAUGGUGAUUUCAAAGCUGCAAACCCCAAGGACAUUGAUGCUUUUGUUGCACUCCACGAAGCUUCCUACCUGGCCUUCCCAGGAGAGCCCAUGCUGGACGAAGCAAGAUCAUUCGCCGUCAAGAAACUCGAAGAACUGAUGCCGUCCAUGUCGAUCUCCAUGGGGCCUGCUAGCCAAACGGAAAGACAAGGAGACCUCCCGUUGCACUGGAAAGUUCCCCGGCUGCAGGCGACAUGGUCGCUGAAACAACACCGCUACAACGACGAGCGCUCGAUCGAUCAUUCCAUCCUGCAGCUCGCUGCGGUCGACUUCAACCUCGUGCAGGCCGUCCAUGGAGCAGAGCUCGUGGAAGUCACCAAAUGGUGGAAGGAGACCGGGUUGGGCGAGAAGCUACCGUUCGCGAGGGACCGUCUGGUGGAGUGCUUCUUCUGCGCGACCUGCAUCGCACCCGAGCCCUGUCUCGCGGGCUGUCGCGAGCUGCUGGCCAAGGUGGGCUCCCUUAUCGUCCACCUCGACGACGUCUACGACCUCUACGGCACGUUCGACGAGCUGGCUGCCUUCACAGAUGCUGUCGGCAGCUGGGAUGACGAUGCUUUGUCGACGGCACUGCCGGAGUACAUGAAGGCGAUGUACUCAGCCAUCCGGUUGACGUCGACGGAGGCAGCGGAUCGGGUGAUGAAGGAGCAAGGAAGAUACGACGUGCUCCCGCUCUACAAGAAAGCAGUAAGACAAGAGGAGAUAGAUCCAUUGAUUUUCUUCUUCUUUCGUUUGGGAUAUACCUUUGAGGAUCGAUGGAUUAACAUGCAUGUGGAUGCAUGCAUGCAGUGGCAUGAGCUGUGUAAGGCAUUCCUCAUAGAAGCCAAGUGGCAGCACGAGGGGCAGAUGCCAUGCUUGGAGGAGUACCUUGAGAACGGGUGGGUCACGUCCACGGGGCCUCUGCUGCUGCUCCACGCUUUCACCAUGCUCCAGCAGCAAGAGCAGAUUGAUUCAUGGCUGCGCAAUCACGACGACGGCGACGACAUGGUGUACCCCAAGCUGGUUGAGCUAUGUUCCAUGAUCUUCCGGCUCUGCAACGACUGCGCGACCCACGAGGCCGAGUCGGAGCGGGGUGAGGCGGCGUCGGUCAUCACCUGCCGCAUGGGCGGUGGCGCGAGUAAGGAAGAGGCCCGGGCUGCGGUGGCGGACGCCAUUGCCGAGACUUGGAAGAAGGUGAACAGGGAGGUCGCCUUGAGCAGCAGCACCGGGACCGGGAGCACGGCCAGCCUCGUCUGCGUCAACCUGGCGAGGACCAUUCAAUGCAUCUAUCAAGACGGCGACGGCAUCACCUCGCCCAAGGACAGCCGGAAACAACUCGUCAAGGACAUGCUUUUCACGCCUGUUGAUCUAGAUAUUUUUGGCGCACACUAG
This 1818-nucleotide ribosomal RNA is filed under the name Triticum aestivum (bread wheat). Its description in RNAcentral is "partial small subunit ribosomal RNA". Lineage: Eukaryota; Viridiplantae; Streptophyta; Magnoliopsida; Poales; Poaceae. The record is from RNAcentral.